Molecule: non-coding RNA, 1238 nt
Organism: Heterocephalus glaber (naked mole-rat)
Lineage: Eukaryota; Metazoa; Chordata; Mammalia; Rodentia; Bathyergidae
Source: RefSeq, a predicted model, not a curated record
CGGUAUAUGUUCUCUAGGCCUUUUAGAAAACAUGGGGUUGUUCCUUUGGCCACAUACAUGCAAAUCUACAAAAAGGGUGAUAUUGUAGACAUCAAGGGAAUGGGUACUGUUCAAAAAGGAAUGCCACACAAAUGUUACCAUGGCAAAACUGGAAGAGUCUACAAUGUUACCCAGCAUGCUGUUGGCAUUGUUGUAAACAAGCAAGUUAAGGGCAAGAUACUUGCCAAGAGGAUUCGAGAUAGUUUCCUGAAAUGAGUCAAGGAAAAUGAUCAGAAAAAGAAGGAAGUCAAAGAGAAAGGUUUCAGAUAUGCUGAUGUUUACACUACAAAGAAAUACUUCUGUGAAUUCUAUACCACCCACAAAAGACCAAAGGGAAAGAAAAGGUAAAACUUCAAAGUUAUCAGCAGGAAAUGAGUGUCAAUGCAACAGCUGCUGUCACAAGGCACCAAAGGAAUUGCAUCUACAAGGAACAAAGAAGACAAACACACAAGUUAACAUGGGAGAAACAGAAGCCCCCCCGACUGCUGAUGAACCAUCCAACAGAGAAGGGGAGGCUACCAGGCAAUUCUCAUCUAAAGACAAAGGACUCUUUAGAACAGGCAGGAUGCCAACAGCAGAUGAGAGAGACAAGCAAGAGAUGACAGUGUCUGAGGCUUAUUCCAGGCACAGGCAGACUGAAGUUGAAGAUUUGAGCAAGGAAGCAGGAGGUAAAGCUGAUAGCAAAGGCUACAGCCAAACUGCAAAUGAUCUCUACCACAACCUGGGCAUUCUCUGUAACUCCCUACGUGUGAGUCCUUCAAUACUUUUAAGACUGUGAAACUGAGAAUUGACUUAAAAACCUUUAUCUGGCAGCUGAGAAUGCAUAUGAAACCAAAAAGCCUUGAAACUCACUUUCUGUCAACAUAGAUUAAUCAAUAACUGAUUUUUUUUUUUUUUUUUGGUUCCAGGGAUCAAACUCACGACCUUGAGCUUUCGAGGCAGGCAUAAUGCCACUGAGCUAUAUCCUCAGCCCAUUCAAUAACUGACUUUUCCUCUUGGUGCUUGGUGCUGGCCUUUCCAGUACUAUAUUCACUUUCAACAUACAAUUCAGAGCUGGAUGUGCUUGUAAUGAAGCUCAUGGUGAAAGCAGCUGGACCAAGGGCAUGAUCCCAUCCUGCUACAUAUAACAUCCAGCAGGUACUUUAAAAGCAGAAUAGGGGCCAGGGAUAUAGCUCAGUGGCACUGCACCUGCCUGGCAA